GAUGAAGAACGCAGCGAAAUGCGAUAAGUAAUGUGAAUUGCAGAAUUCAGUGAAUCAUCGAAUCUUUGAACGCACCUUGCGCCCUUUGGCUAUUCCGAAGGGCAUGCCUGUUUGAGUAUCAUGAAAACCUCAACUCUCAUGGCUUGCCAUGAUGAGCUUGGACUCUGGGGGUCUUGCUGGCUUUACGGUCAGCUCCUCUCAAAUAAAUCAGCUUGCCGGUGUUUGGUGGGAUCACAGGUGUGAUAACUAUCUACGCUUGUGGUUUUCCGCCAGGUAACCUUCAGCAAUGGAGGUUCGCUGGAGCUCAUAAAUGUCUCUCCUCAGCGAGGACAGAUUUUGACCGUUUGAUCUCAAAUCAGGUAGGACUACCCGCUGAACUUAAGCAUAUCAAUAAGCGGAGGU
Molecule: unclassified non-coding RNA, 402 nt
Filed under: soil metagenome
Description: partial contains 5.8S ribosomal RNA, internal transcribed spacer 2, and large subunit ribosomal RNA
Rfam family: 5.8S ribosomal RNA (bases 1-121)
Source: RNAcentral